GUCUUUUUGUUAAUAAUUUAAAGUCUUGCCUGCCCACUGAAAAAUUGAAUGGCCGCGGUAUUUUGACCGUGCAAAGGUAGCAUAAUCAUUAGUUUUUUAAUUGAGAACUGGAAUGAAUGGUAGAAUAAAAGAAAAACUGUCUCUAAUUAAUUUUUUUAAAAUUUUAUUUUUAAGUUAAAAAGCUUAAAUAUUUUUAAAAGACGAGAAGACCCUAUAGAGUUUAAUAAAAUUUUAAAAAUAUUAUAAGUAAAUGAUUAUAUUUUAAUUUUUAAGUUUUAUUUUAUUGGGGUGAUUAAAAAAUUAAAUUAACUUUUUUUAUAAAUUAACAUAAAUUUAUGAAAAUUUGAUCCAAAAAUUUUUGAUUAUAAGAUUAAAUUACCUUAGGGAUAACAGCGUAAUUUUUUCAAAGAGUUCUAAUCGAAGAAGAAGAUUGCGACCUCGAUGUUGGAUUAAAAUUAAUUAUUGGUGUAGAAGCUAAUAAAUUAGGUCUGUUCGACCUUUAAAAUUUUACA
This 512-nucleotide ribosomal RNA is filed under the name Epipocus tristis. Its description in RNAcentral is "partial 16S ribosomal RNA". The stretch from base 386 to 512 matches the Rfam family "Bacterial large subunit ribosomal RNA", at positions 2473 to 2600 of the family's 2925-position model. Lineage: Eukaryota; Metazoa; Arthropoda; Insecta; Coleoptera; Endomychidae. The record is from RNAcentral.